GACGAACGCUGGCGGCGUGCCUAAUACAUGCAAGUAGAACGCUGAAGGAGGAGCUUGCUUCUCUGGAUGAGUUGCGAACGGGUGAGUAACGCGUAGGUAACCUGCCUGGUAGCGGGGGAUAACUAUUGGAAACGAUAGCUAAUACCGCAUAAGAGUAGAUGUUGCAUGACAUUUGCUUAAAAGGUGCAAUUGCAUCACUACCAGAUGGACCUGCGUUGUAUUAGCUAGUUGGUGGGGUAACGGCUCACCAAGGCGACGAUACAUAGCCGACCUGAGAGGGUGAUCGGCCACACUGGGACUGAGACACGGCCCAGACUCCUACGGGAGGCAGCAGUAGGGAAUCUUCGGCAAUGGACGGAAGUCUGACCGAGCAACGCCGCGUGAGUGAAGAAGGGUUUCGGAUCGUAAAGCUCUGUUGUAAGAGAAGAACGAGUGUGAGAGUGGAAAGUUCACACUGUGACGGUAUCUUACCAGAAAGAGACGGCUAACUACGUG
This 495-nucleotide ribosomal RNA is filed under the name uncultured bacterium. RNAcentral describes it as "partial 16S ribosomal RNA". It matches the Rfam family "Bacterial small subunit ribosomal RNA", at positions 28 to 507 of the family's 1533-position model. The record is from RNAcentral.